UUUUUCACUAAGUCUUUAGAGGUUUUAAGAUUCAAACACUAUGUAAGAAGAAUUAUGGUUUGAACUACGUAACAAUUACCUAGACAUCUUUUGGACUUCAGUUAACCUGUGUCAAGCACUGCAGUAGAUUCUGAAGAUACAAAAAUAAAUAAAACAUUCCUGCCCUCAAGACACUUACACUCUUAUGUGUAACACUGUGUGACCAUUCAUCUGGGCCUUCCUGAGACAGUCUUGGUUUACACCUGUUUUCCCAAUCAGAGCAUCACUGCCUUUCCCACUAUUCUCCUGCAGAAGAGCAGGGGAAGGAAGCACCAGGGUCCAUCAUGGAGGAAGGGUGUUGCCCUGAACAGCUGACACACCCUCAGCAAUGAAGCUUAGUUUUGCUGGAACUUUUCAGUUGUGACAACUGAGAUUCAGAGAUGUCCAAUCUACUCACAUAAAUAGCCUGGUUGAAGAUGGCUGAGCGUAAAACAGAAUGCAAGUCAGCUGGAGCACGUACUACUGGAGGCAGAGCCCCAUGAGAAGGGGCCAAGAACCCGCACCCAUCAAAAUCAAGAAGAAAGGCUGAACCCGGAGAGAAAAGGGAGCAACUGAUGUUGCCAUGCAGAUCCCUUGGUUGCUAUGAGAUGGUAACAUCACUCUGCCCCACCAUUGGCCAGUGCCUCCUCAGCUGCGGUGCCUCCCAGGCUGUGUGGUUCUCACGCGGGCCACUGACACAGAGCUGUUACUAUGGUGAACUUUACAAUUUCCUUUGAUUGGUGGAUUUCAGAAAUAGGCCAUCAGCGGAAUUCAUUAUAUUCAGCUAAGUAAAAAUGAAAAAUAAAUACUAUAACUUUCCCCUCAUCACUAACAUGAAGGAAACGUGACCCUUCAUGACAUAAUAAAUCGCUGUUCGGUAACUUAGGAUCCUUCAGGGGACUGAAGCGGGAUGAUCCUCCUAUGCCAAAUUUGGGUGGGAAAGAUAUUCCCUGUAGCUUUGAGUCGACUCUUCAGAGUUAAGGGCAGUGGGCCAACCAGAGUUGGAACUUCAGAGUUGGGAGGAGGUGUGGGAUGGGGCAUGCAUUGAAAUGUAAACUCUAUUGUCUCUGAAGUGAUGGGUGAUGCUGGGGGCCUGAGUGUGGAGGGCAGUUUUACAUCUCAGGACAAUGUUUUCUCAGAUGCUCUUCCAGAAAGAAAAGCCAGGAGUACUCCUGGCUGGAGGCGGCAUGCCUGAGGUCAGAGUCAAAGUAGGGUUUGUGCUGUCUGAAUCCUUUCUCCCACUCUCCCCAGCCUGGCUCAGCUUCUCAGCUUCUCAGGUGGAUUGGCCUCUGAGCCCAAGCCAAGCCAUCGCAUCCCCUGUGACUUGCCCGUAUAUAUGCCCAGAUGGCCUGAAGUAACUGAAGAAUCACAAAAGAAGUGAAUAUGCCUUGCCCCACCUUGACUGAUGACAUUCCACCACAAAAGAAGUGUAAAUGGCCGGUCCUUGCCUUAACUGAUGACAUUACCUUGUGAAAGUCCUUUUCCUGGCUCAUCCUGGCUCAAAAAGCACCCCCACUGAGCAUCUUGCGACUCCCACUCCUGCCCACUGAGCACCUUGUGACCCCCACUCCUGCCUGCCAGAGAACAAACCCCCUUUGACUGUAAUUUUCCUUUACCUACCCAAAUCCUAUAAAACGGCUCCACCCUUAUCUCCUUUUGCUGACUCUCUUUUCUGACUCAGCCCGCCUGCACCCAGGAGAUUAAAAGCUUUAUUGCUCACACAAA
RNAcentral lists this long non-coding RNA (1743 nucleotides) under Homo sapiens (human). Its description in RNAcentral is "PREDICTED lncRNA (TCONS_00148408)". Lineage: Eukaryota; Metazoa; Chordata; Mammalia; Primates; Hominidae. The record is from RNAcentral.